AAAUGAUGUCUCCUAAUAACAGCCAAUUUCAAAGUCAAAGACUAAAGUGGGUAACAAAGGUGCACAUCUCGUGGUUGUUUUGCAACUUGUCCUUAUUCUUUCAUAUCUUUGAAAAUUCUAACUUUUUUUUACCAUUUUGAUUAUAUUUAUUCUUCUAUCCCAAUAGAAUUUAAAAUUAUAAAAAUAAUCAAACAUAGUUCAAGAAUAAAAAAAUUGUAUUACCCUAUCCAAACAAAAAAUAAUAGAAAUUAAGGGAAUUCAAUUGGG
RNAcentral lists this long non-coding RNA (267 nucleotides) under Medicago truncatula (barrel medic). Its description in RNAcentral is "long non-coding RNA (MTRU_LNC008310)". Lineage: Eukaryota; Viridiplantae; Streptophyta; Magnoliopsida; Fabales; Fabaceae. The record is from RNAcentral.